This 443-nucleotide ribosomal RNA is filed under the name uncultured bacterium. RNAcentral's name for it is "partial 16S ribosomal RNA". It matches the Rfam family "Bacterial small subunit ribosomal RNA", at positions 338 to 795 of the family's 1533-position model. The record is from RNAcentral.
CCUACGGGAGGCAGCAGUGGGGAAUAUUGGGCAAUGGGCGCAAGCCUGACCCAGCAACGCCGCGUGAAGGAAGAAGGCUUUCGGGUUGUAAACUUCUUUUCUCAGGGACGAAGCAAGUGAAGGUACCUGAGGAAUAAGACACGGCUAACUACGUUCCAGCAGCCGCGGUAAUACGUAGGUGGCAAGCGUUAUCCGGCGUUACUGGGUGUAAAGGGCGUGUAGGCGGGAUAGCAAGUCAGAUGUGAAGACCAUGGGCUCAACCUGUGGCCUGCAUAUGAUACUGUUUUUCUUGAGUACUGGAGAGGCAGACGGAAUUCCUGGUGUAGCAGUGAAAUGCGUAGAUAUUAGGAGGAACACCAGUGGCGAAGGCGGUCUGCUGGACAUCAACUGACGCUGAGGCGCGAAGGCGUGGGGAGCAAACGGGAUUAGAUACCCUAGUAGUC